This 202-nucleotide ribosomal RNA is filed under the name uncultured bacterium. RNAcentral's name for it is "partial 16S ribosomal RNA". It matches the Rfam family "Bacterial small subunit ribosomal RNA", at positions 1302 to 1500 of the family's 1533-position model. The record is from RNAcentral.
AGGCUGCAACCCGCCCUGCAUGAAGUCGGAAUUGCUAGUAAUCGCGGAUCAGCAUGCCGCGGUGAAUACGUUCCCGGGGCCCUUGUACACACCGCCCGUCACACCAUGGGAGCCGGGAAUGCCCGAAGUCGGCAGCCGAACCGUAAGGAAGGAGCCGCCGAAGGCAGGCCCGGUAACUGGGGUGAAGUCGUAACAAGGUAUC